Molecule: ribosomal RNA, 676 nt
Filed under: uncultured bacterium
Lineage: Bacteria
Description: bacterial SSU rRNA
Rfam family: Bacterial small subunit ribosomal RNA
Source: RNAcentral
GAAACGACUGCUAAUACCGCAUAAGCGCACAGCUUCGCAUGAAGCAGUGUGAAAAACUCCGGUGGUACAAGAUGGACCUGCGUCUGAUUAGCUGGUUGGUGAGGUAACGGCCCACCAAGGCGACGAUCAGUAGCCGGCCUGAGAGGGUGAACGGCCACAUUGGGACUGAGACACGGCCCAAACUCCUACGGGAGGCAGCAGUGGGGAAUAUUGCACAAUGGGGGAAACCCUGAUGCAGCAACGCCGCGUGAGUGAAGAAGUAUUUCGGUAUGUAAAGCUCUAUCAGCAGGAAAGAAAAUGACGGUACCUGACUAAGAAGCCCCGGCUAACUACGUGCCAGCAGCCGCGGUAAUACGUAGGGGGCAAGCGUUAUCCGGAUUUACUGGGUGUAAAGGGAGCGUAGACGGUUUUGCAAGUCUGAAGUGAAAGCCCGGGGCUUAACCCCGGGACUGCUUUGGAAACUGUAGGACUAGAGUGCAGGAGAGGUAAGUGGAAUUCCUAGUGUAGCGGUGAAAUGCGUAGAUAUUAGGAGGAACACCAGUGGCGAAGGCGGCUUACUGGACUGUAACUGACGUUGAGGCUCGAAAGCGUGGGGAGCAAACAGGAUUAGAUACCCUGGUAGUCCACGCCGUAAACGAUGAUUACUAGGUGUUGGUGGGUAUGACCCAUCGGUGCC